Molecule: non-coding RNA, 70 nt
Organism: Phrynosoma platyrhinos (Desert horned lizard)
Lineage: Eukaryota; Metazoa; Chordata; Lepidosauria; Squamata; Phrynosomatidae
Source: the annotation of a GenBank genome assembly
GAGAGCAUGGUUUAGUGGUUUGGGUGUCAGACUACGACUCCGGAGAUCAGGGUUCAAUUCCCUGCUCAAA